UUGCUCACUUUGGCAGCACAUGCACUAAAACUGGAAGGAUACAGAGAAAAUUAGCAUGGCUCCUGCACAACAAUGACACACAAAUUUGUGAAGCAUUCAUUU
This is a small nuclear RNA of Meriones unguiculatus (Mongolian gerbil), 102 nucleotides long. NCBI's taxonomy places the organism in Eukaryota, Metazoa, Chordata, Mammalia, Rodentia, Muridae. The record is from Ensembl.